CCGAGUUUACAACUCCCAAACCCCUGUGAACAUACCUAUACGUUGCUUCGGCGGGAUAGCCGCGCCAGUUGACCAAGCUGGACCAGGCCCCGCCGAGGACCCUAAACUCUUGUUUUUAGUGGAAUCUUCUGAGUAAACAACAAAUAAAUUA
Molecule: unclassified non-coding RNA, 151 nt
Filed under: soil metagenome
Description: partial internal transcribed spacer 1
Source: RNAcentral